Molecule: ribosomal RNA, 207 nt
Filed under: uncultured bacterium
Lineage: Bacteria
Description: partial 16S ribosomal RNA
Rfam family: Bacterial small subunit ribosomal RNA
Source: RNAcentral
AGCGUAGACGGCAAGGCAAGUCUGAUGUGAAAGACUGGGGCUCAACCCCGGGACUGCAUUGGAAACUGUCCUGCUGGAGUGCCGGAGAGGUAAGCGGAAUUCCUAGUGUAGCGGUGAAAUGCGUAGAUAUUAGGAGGAACACCAGUGGCGAAGGCGGCUUACUGGACGGUAACUGACGUUGAGGCUCGAAAGCGUGGGGAGCAAACA